Molecule: ribosomal RNA, 305 nt
Filed under: uncultured bacterium
Lineage: Bacteria
Description: bacterial SSU rRNA
Rfam family: Bacterial small subunit ribosomal RNA
Source: RNAcentral
CCUACGGGAGGCAGCAGUGGGGAAUAUUGCACAAUGGGGGAAACCCUGAUGCAGCGACGCCGCGUGAGUGAAGAAGUGAUUCGUCACGUAAAGCUCUAUCAGCAGGAAAGAAAAUGACGGUACCUGACUAAGAAGCCCCGGCUAACUACGUGCCAGCAGCCGCGGUAAUACGUAGGGGGCAAGCGUUAUCCGGAUUUACUGGGUGUAAAGGGAGCGUAGACGGCAGGGCAAGUCUGAAGUGAAAGGCAGGGGCUUAACCCCUGAACUGCUUUGGAAACUGCCAUGCUAGAGUGCUGGAGAGGUAA